CAGUCGCCGCGGUAAUACAGAGGGUGCAAGCGUUAAUCGGAGUUACUGGGCGUAAAGGGCGCGUAGGCGGUUAUAUAAGUGAGAUGUGAAAUCCCUGGGCUUAACCUAGGAACUGCAUCUUAUACUGUAUGGCUAGAGUAUUGUAGAGGGGGGUAGAAUUCCACGUGUAGCAGUGAAAUGCGUAGAGAUGUGGAGGAAUACCGAUGGCGAAGGCAGCCCCCUGGGCCAAUACUGACGCUCAUGCACGAAAGCGUGGGGAGCAAACAGGAUUAGAGACCCCCGUAGUCCCUGUCUCUUAUAC
This 301-nucleotide ribosomal RNA is filed under the name uncultured bacterium. Its description in RNAcentral is "partial 16S ribosomal RNA". It matches the Rfam family "Bacterial small subunit ribosomal RNA", at positions 509 to 807 of the family's 1533-position model. The record is from RNAcentral.